Molecule: transfer RNA, 75 nt
Filed under: Vibrio cholerae O1 biovar El Tor
Lineage: Bacteria; Pseudomonadati; Pseudomonadota; Gammaproteobacteria; Vibrionales; Vibrionaceae
Description: tRNA-Met
Rfam family: tRNA (bases 6-64)
About the family: Transfer RNA (tRNA) molecules are approximately 80 nucleotides in length.
Source: RNAcentral
GUCUAUAGCUCAGUUGGUUAGAGCACAUCACUCAUAAUGAUGGGGUCACAGGUUCGAAUCCCGUCGUAGCCACCA